GCAAUUAAACGGAAAGGCAUUGAUAUAAGGAAGGUCGAAUUCUAUGCAUCAUUGUUUGACAGUGCAGCCGUUUGUAUAUCACUCCACUCAUCGAGAAGUGAGAAUAAUACAGUUAUUUAUAAAAGGAUAACAGGUGAUUCAAGUCAGACUACAUUCUAUAUGCAUACGAACUGGGAGCAGUUACAAGGCAACGAGAACCUUAUCGAACCGCGCUACACCAACUUCAAUUACAUCAAACAAAUUACCCCUAAGCUAAAAUUAUUAUUUUGUUUAGAGAUCCUACAACAAGACUUUAUUCUGACUUUUUGCAUAAUACACGCGGAAAGUACAGUUUUUCCUCACCUGAAGUGUUUCAUAGAGACGUUGUGGCGUUGAUAAAGGCUUAUAAAGUGUUUCCAUCAAUUUUCACAAAAGAGUUGUGUGUAUAAUAAUACCUUGAAGCAGGAACUUC
Long non-coding RNA from Mercenaria mercenaria, 451 nucleotides. RefSeq lists it as uncharacterized. The record is from RefSeq and is a predicted model, not a curated record. NCBI's taxonomy places the organism in Eukaryota, Metazoa, Mollusca, Bivalvia, Venerida, Veneridae. The transcript is spliced from 3 exons.